GAUGAACGCUGGCGGCGUGCCUAACACAUGCAAGUCGAACGGAAAGGCCCUGCUUUUGUGGGGUGCUCGAGUGGCGAACGCGUGAGUAACACGUGUGUAUCCUGCCCUUGUCUUUGGGAUAACUUCACGAAACUGGGGCUAAUAUCGGAUAGGAGCUUCUGCUGCAUGGUGGGGGUUGGAAAGUUUCGGCGGUUGGGGAUGGACUGGCGGCUUACCAGCUUGUUGGUGGGGUAGUGGAAUACCAAGUCUUUGACGGGUAGCCGGCCUGAGAGGGGGGCCGGCCACAAGGGUACUGAGAGACGGCCCAGUCGCGUACGGGAGGCAGCAGGGGGGAGUAUGACACAGUGAGCCGGAGCCUGAGACGGCGGCGCCGCGUUCGUAAAGACGUCCUUCUGGUUAAGAACCGCUGUCGCCUGUGACGAAGCGUUAGUGACGGUAAUGAAUAAAGAAGCACCGGCUAACUACGUG
Molecule: ribosomal RNA, 468 nt
Filed under: uncultured bacterium
Lineage: Bacteria
Description: partial 16S ribosomal RNA
Rfam family: Bacterial small subunit ribosomal RNA
Source: RNAcentral